This is a non-coding RNA of Taeniopygia guttata (zebra finch), 1069 nucleotides long. NCBI's taxonomy places the organism in Eukaryota, Metazoa, Chordata, Aves, Passeriformes, Estrildidae. The record is from RefSeq and is a predicted model, not a curated record.
CGGCCCGCGGUACCCCCUAGCGGCCGCGGCUUCCCCGGCCCGCCCGGCCUGCUGGAAACACGAUAGCCCCCGGGAGGAGCGCUGCCAGCGGCCUCGCCUGUGCCGCAGGGGCCCGGGGCAGCAGCCCCGCGGCCGCUCAGCGGAGCCUUAGCCCCGGCACGGUGCCCUGCGCCUGUAGGCUGGCACCCGAGUGUCCUUCAGUCCCCUGCCGGCACUGCCCGCCCCGAGCUGCGGCCUUGGUGCGGCUGAGGAGGUGGAAGGUGUCCCCAAGAGCCACGGGCUGGGGGAAAGGCUGUGUUAGCUCACAGGGGCCCUCCCGCAUUGCACCGGGACUGUGGCAGGAUCCUGGCUUGUCCUGCACUGUGUAGUAACAGCCACGUACCUGCUAGCAAUCACAACUCGGAGACUACACAGACAUUUCCCACCUCAACCCCAAUGACCUCCUCAGAUGUUACAGUAUCCUCCCUGCUUCCCAAGCAGAAACAAACAGCUGCAUCUCGGAUGUCUCUGGUCAAGGGGAGACCAGUGGCUGUUAACAACCUGGAUGAUGUCCCUAGUUUAUGCUCUCCCAAAUGGGCUAGACCCUGACAUCUCCACACAGGGAAGUUUCACCCAUCCCCUUCUCAUUGGUUGUUUAGUGGGUUGCAAAAAACAUGCUGCUGGAGCUACUGCUGUUUUCUGCAAGGGAGAAUGCAUCUUCCUGUGCAAGACUGGUUUCCAGGAACAACUUGAGUCACUCACCCUGCAGAACUGAGCAAUCUCUUCUGCUUUCAAAGCUUAUGAGACACAGGUGUGGGCUCUGUGAAGAAACACUGCUGAAUCCCUUUGGAUUGUGCCUAGAUGUUUCCACUUGUUGAGGAAUACAUUUGGUAUUGUGAGCUCAGUGUGCAGCUGAAGGGCAAAUGACUGGACACUCAAAGGCAGCAGGAGCCAAUGAUGCCAGGUUUUGGCACGCUUAGACUGUUAGGGUAUAAAAGCCAAGAAUUUCCCUUUUUUGGGGUCCCUCCUUGGAGGCACACAGCUCAAGUUGUUAUUUUGUUGUUCCACCAUGAUUAAAUUAUUUUAAGGA